UGGGGAAUAUUGGACAAUGGGCGCAAGCCUGAUCCAGCCAUGCCGCGUGAGUGAUGACGGCCCUAGGGUUGUAAAGCUCUUUCGUCAGGGACGAUAAUGACGGUACCUGAAGAAGAAGCCCCGGCUAACUUCGUGCCAGCAGCCGCGGUAAUACGAAGGGGGCUAGCGUUGUUCGGAAUCACUGGGCGUAAAGCGCACGUAGGCGGGUCGUUAAGUCGGGGGUGAAAUGCCAAGGCUCAACCUUGGAACUGCCUUCGAUACUGGCGAUCUCGAGUCCGGGAGAGGUGAGUGGAACUCCGAGUGUAGAGGUGAAAUUCGUAGAUAUUCGGAAGAACACCAGUGGCGAAGGCGGCUCACUGGCCCGGUACUGACGCUGAGGUGCGAAAGCGUGGGGAGCAAACAG
Molecule: ribosomal RNA, 403 nt
Filed under: uncultured bacterium
Lineage: Bacteria
Description: bacterial SSU rRNA
Rfam family: Bacterial small subunit ribosomal RNA
Source: RNAcentral